GUUUAUAAAAAGUGUUACAAUGAAGUAAAAGUUUACCCUCUGACAAACAUACACCAAGUGCACACCUAACUAACUUACUUAAUUUAAGUAAGUCUUAAACGGCCCACAGAUUUACAUCACCCCGGACAUCACAACUUCUCUACAGACUUAAAAACAUACUAAUUAUCCAAUUAAAAACCAAUGAGGCACUAGGGCAAGAUUUGUAUAAUUCUGGUUCCCUUGCCACAAAUCUGUUUAUAUUUUGGACGAGAUGGUCAAUGUAAUGUUAAUGUGCU
Molecule: non-coding RNA, 275 nt
Organism: Paramuricea clavata
Lineage: Eukaryota; Metazoa; Cnidaria; Anthozoa; Malacalcyonacea; Plexauridae
Source: the annotation of a GenBank genome assembly